RNAcentral lists this long non-coding RNA (461 nucleotides) under Aotus nancymaae (Ma's night monkey). Its description in RNAcentral is "lncRNA (ENSANAG00000039044.1)". Lineage: Eukaryota; Metazoa; Chordata; Mammalia; Primates; Aotidae. The record is from RNAcentral.
GAGUUUCUUGCCCAUGUGACCAAGAAUUGGUCAAAGUCACAGACACCUUUAGCAGCAACUCUUGGGAAGAAUGUGAUUGACUUGUCAGGAUUCUCAGUGUUAAAACCAAUGCUCUGAGUAUGAGUUGUGCAGUUGGAAUAAAGAACAGUGAAAUUACGCACCUCCCUCAAAACAUGCAAGGUCUCUUUCUUCUACACUAACUUGAUGAUGAUUGAAACCCUCUUUAGUUCACCACCAGUUCUUGUCUUCACUGUGGCCUCAACGUUCCCUUCCCGCUUGAUCUGUGUCUGUCACCUGACUCUCCCUGGAGCUAUGUGUCCCUCACGGAGAAGGCAUUGUUCCUACAUCAUUUUCGAACACCACUGAGGGAGUUUCUGUAAAACCCAAUCCAAUCUUUAAGGUAAAGAUUUUGUGUAUGUGUGAGAUAUAAGCACAUAAGACUUACGCAAAACGGCUUCUUU